This 264-nucleotide long non-coding RNA is filed under the name Salvia miltiorrhiza (redroot sage). RNAcentral describes it as "long non-coding RNA (SMIL_LNC009314)". Lineage: Eukaryota; Viridiplantae; Streptophyta; Magnoliopsida; Lamiales; Lamiaceae. The record is from RNAcentral.
GACCAAUUGAAUUAUAUAUAGGGUAAGUGAAAGGCAAGUUGAUUCUUUACGAUGUUUAUGUCAAACACACGAUACAACUAACAAGUUGCUAUUUUAUUUCGAUGUUCAUGCCAUCACUCUUUUUUUUGUAUACGAGAGAAUUUUGUAAUUUUAUUUACGUGAUCAUUCUGAAUAAACUAUCAAUUCAAUAUUGAUUUUACCAUAUGUAAUUGUUUUUUUUUUUGGAGGCAACCAUAUGUAAUUGUUGGACCCACUAAGUAAUUU